GACGAACGCUGGCGGCGUGCUUAACACAUGCAAGUCGAACGGAAAGGCCCUGCUUUUGUGGGGUGCUCGAGUGGCGAACGGGUGAGUAACACGUGAGUAACCUGCCCUUGACUUUGGGAUAACUUCAGGAAACUGGGGCUAAUACCGGAUAGGAGCUCCUGCUGCAUGGUGGGGGUUGGAAAGUUUCGGCGGUUGGGGAUGGACUCGCGGCUUAUCAGCUUGUUGGUGGGGUAGUGGCUUACCAAGGCUUUGACGGGUAGCCGGCCUGAGAGGGUGACCGGCCACAUUGGGACUGAGAUACGGCCCAGACUCCUACGGGAGGCAGCAGUGGGGAAUAUUGCACAAUGGGCGGAAGCCUGAUGCAGCAACGCCGCGUGCGGGAUGACGGCAUUCGGGUUGUAACCCGCUUUAGCCUGUGACGAAGCGUGAGUGACGGUAAUGGGUAAAGAAGCACCGGCUAACUACGUG
RNAcentral lists this ribosomal RNA (468 nucleotides) under uncultured bacterium. RNAcentral describes it as "partial 16S ribosomal RNA". It matches the Rfam family "Bacterial small subunit ribosomal RNA", at positions 28 to 507 of the family's 1533-position model. The record is from RNAcentral.